Molecule: non-coding RNA, 164 nt
Filed under: uncultured Prevotella sp.
Lineage: Bacteria; Pseudomonadati; Bacteroidota; Bacteroidia; Bacteroidales; Prevotellaceae
Source: RNAcentral
CAUCGCAAGGUGAAAUCUGAAGGAAGCUGGCGGCAAACAUCUGACCUAACGAACAGGAACUUCAUAUAAGGCAUUUAACCAUGGAUACGAUUGCAACGCAAAUCAAAGUCCCAUAGCUAUUCGGAAUGGUUGGUGUAAAUGAAGUGGGUAUAAGAUGGAAAGAA